GGGAUAUGUUGGGUGCUCAGAUCCAGGGAUAUAGGAUUUGAGGGGGUACCUGAUUGUGAAAUGUAUGUUUUGGGGUGUAAUGCAUGUAUGUUCUGAUCCUGAGAGAUAAUGUCAUUUGGAUGUGUACUUUGUAACAGUUUCCUCUCAGGUCCAGCAGGGAAUGCCCCUGGAAUAAGUUUUAGGAAACCCCUUGCAUGGGGAAUUACAUAAAAGGCAGUGUGUGGAUCCCUAUAAACCAGUUCAUCCCCAGCAUAGAGCCUCGUCUCGUAUGUGGGAGAAUGCUAUACCAGCUAUAUCACUUCUCUUAGGAUUGCUAUAAUCACUUGCUCUGUUAAGAGCUAUACCUGCUCUAGUCGCUUUGGAUUACACUUAUUGUGAAAUGACUACAGCAUCACUCACACUAG
Non-coding RNA from Pelobates cultripes (western spadefoot toad), 404 nucleotides. The record is from the annotation of a GenBank genome assembly. NCBI's taxonomy places the organism in Eukaryota, Metazoa, Chordata, Amphibia, Anura, Pelobatidae.